This 745-nucleotide ribosomal RNA is filed under the name uncultured Pseudomonas sp. RNAcentral describes it as "bacterial SSU rRNA". It matches the Rfam family "Bacterial small subunit ribosomal RNA", at positions 8 to 744 of the family's 1533-position model. Lineage: Bacteria; Pseudomonadati; Pseudomonadota; Gammaproteobacteria; Pseudomonadales; Pseudomonadaceae. The record is from RNAcentral.
AUAGUUUGAUCAUGGCUCAGAUUGAACGCUGGCGGCAUGCCUAACACAUGCAAGUCGAACGGAAACGAUGGGAGCUUGCUCCCAGGCGUCGAGUGGCGGACGGGUGAGUAAUACUUAGGAAUCUGCCCAUUAGUGGGGGACAACUAGAAGAAAUUCUAGCUAAUACCGCAUACGCCCUACGGGGGAAAGCGGGGGAUCUUCGGACCUCGCGCUAAUGGAUGAGCCUAAGUCGGAUUAGCUUGUUGGUGAGGUAAUGGCUCACCAAGGCGACGAUCCGUAGCUGGUCUGAGAGGACGAUCAGCCACACUGGGACUGAGACACGGCCCAGACUCCUACGGGAGGCAGCAGUGGGGAAUAUUGGACAAUGGGCGCAAGCCUGAUCCAGCAAUGCCGCGUGUGUGAAGAAGGCCUGCGGGUUGUAAAGCACUUUCAGUAGAGAAGAAAAGCCUAGGGUUAAUAACCCUGAGUCUUGACGUAACCUACAGAAGAAGCACCGGCUAACUCCGUGCCAGCAGCCGCGGUAAUACGGAGGGUGCGAGCGUUAAUCGGAAUUACUGGGCGUAAAGCGCGCGUAGGCGGCUUUGUAAGUCGGAUGUGAAAGCCCCGGGCUUAACCUGGGAAUUGCAUUCGAUACUGCAUGGCUAGAGUAUGGUAGAGGGAAGUGGAAUUCCGGGUGUAGCGGUGAAAUGCGUAGAUAUCCGGAGGAACACCAGUGGCGAAGGCGACUUCCUGGGCCAAUACUGAC